This 397-nucleotide transfer RNA is filed under the name uncultured Microcystis sp. RNAcentral describes it as "bacterial LSU rRNA". The stretch from base 134 to 207 matches the Rfam family "tRNA". Lineage: Bacteria; Bacillati; Cyanobacteriota; Cyanophyceae; Chroococcales; Microcystaceae. The record is from RNAcentral.
AAGGGAGACCUAAUUCAGGUAGGAGACGAAAAAAAGUAGUCCCUACCAGGAAUCAAUCCCAAAAGGUCGGAGCGAGGCGAAAUUGGCUUUCAAACUAGGUUCUGGGUUCAAACAAGACCUGAAUCAGGAACAAGGGCUAUUAGCUCAGGUGGUUAGAGCGCACCCCUGAUAAGGGUGAGGUCCCUGGUUCGAGUCCAGGAUGGCCCACCUGCACAGGUGGCAAAAACAAGAGAAGCGAGGAAUCAGCACCUUAUCUUACUGACAUAGUAAGAGAGAAUGCUGGCUCUGAGUAAAGAGUCCAGAGGAACCUUGAAAACUGCAUAGAGCUAGGUGAAAAAGCCAAAAAAGAAGACCGCAAGGUCAAGCUAAUAAGGGCUAACGGUGGAUACCUAGGCAC